Pneumocystis jirovecii RU7 is the source of this 102-nucleotide non-coding RNA. The record is from the annotation of a RefSeq genome assembly. Lineage: Eukaryota; Fungi; Ascomycota; Pneumocystomycetes; Pneumocystales; Pneumocystaceae.
GCCCCACUAGCAUAGUUGGUUAUUGCAUCGUGCUUAUAUGCCUUCCAUUGGGAGACAUUCCUCGAGACGCGGGGGUCGGCAGUUCGAGUCUGCCGUGGGGCA